GCUCCACACAAGUUCCUGAAGUCUCUGAAUGUUCUUCUCUUGUGAUAAGAUGAUCUGCAACAAGUGAAAUAUUAGAAGUUAAUCACAAGUAGAAUAGCCGGCAAAAGAUAUGUAUCAUGCCAAAAACAUAACUUCAUUAUAAUUUGCCUUUUCCCAAUAGCAUAUUGUAAAGGAAAUAGCAAUGUUCAUUCAUGGAUAAGUGAAUAUGUGCACUAGAACACCAUAAUUAGUUUCAAAAUGAAAUCAAGACUAUCCAACAGAUGCCACAAUAGAUAAAAGAAAGAAUUUUAUCAACAAAAAUGGAACGUGCUAUGUCACAUUGUUCAUAAAAAAGAUUUUGUCUUCUUAUAUUUAAUAAAUAAACGAACCAUGGAUAGAAAGUUUUAAGCAUGCAAAUAUUUUAUUUUUAGUACAAGCAAGCAAUUAUGUUAUAGGGACCAAACCCUGUACCUUGUGCCAAUCAAAUUGAAACCAGCUAACCAUGCGAAUAGCAAAUUCAUCCAAAGUUUCAAACCCAAAUGAAUCACUGUAAUAGAAAGAGCACUGAGGAAUAUUCAAAGUCAAAAAAAACAAAAACAGAAAGUAUAAAUUAGAUUUAAAGGCUAUAAAUAGCGUAGUGGUGAUGGUGGUGGUCUCAAGCAUUAGUUGAUUCUAUUCACUAUUUUUCAGCAACAAAAUACCAAUCAAAUUAAUGAAUAAGCAUGCAUGAUCCAAGUCCAACAUUGAAUUUAAUUAAUGCUCAACUUCAAGUUUUAAAAUAUUGGGUAUUUGAAGUUGUAAAGUACUUGAAUACAAAUUCUAGGUUUUAUUUAAUAAAAAUUAUUUUCUUCAUUUCAAACAUAAUAUAAGGUAAUUUAUCAAAUCUAUAAUUAAAUUUCAAGAAUUUCUUGAUUAGACUGAUUCAGAUCCUAAUAAACAAGUGUACGGGCAAUUCAUGGGCAUUUUUCAUUCGUGUCAAGCAUACAAAUAGCAACUAAUACCCAAAGUUUCAAACCAAAAUUAAUUACUGUAAUAGAAAGAACACUGAAACACUGCUGAUAAAAUGGUUUUAUGAAAUUAUCUACUAUUGGAAUAUUCAAAGUCAAAAAACUAAGAAAUUGGAAGUAUAAAUUAGAUUUGAAGGCUGGAAACUGCAUGGUGAUGGCGGUAGUUUAAAGCAUCUAUUGAUUCUACUAUACCAAUCAAAUUAAUGGAUAACAUGCAUGAUCCAAGUCCAAUACUGAAUUUAGUUAAUGCUCAAGCACAAGUUUUAAAAUUUUGGGUAUUUGAAGUUGAAAAUCUUAGCAAAUACUUAAAUGCAAAUUCUGGGUUUUAUUUAAUUAAAAUGAAAAUGACUAGAUAUAAAUAAUUAGAGUAAGUUAAGAAGCUUACCAGUACUUUUUAUAGUCUUCUCAUCUAUAUCACAAUGAAAGUGAUUCCAGCUAUUUCACCUGCAAAAAAUGAUAAAAUUAAUCACCUUUUUAUUUUUUUAUAAAAUAAAAAGUGAAAGAAUUGAUACCCCAUUGGAGGGGUACGAACAACCCCAUUGGCAAUGAACAUACCCAUGAAUUCUAUGCUUGCUAUGUCACACUAUGAAGAUGAUAACAAAGAUGAUAACUUGAGAUUGAAAGUUUUAGAAAUGGAGAAGAUACUUGAGGAAACUACGUAAGAACUGACACAGAAGAAGGCUGAAUGGCAGAACCUAAUCAAGGAAAAUGAGGAGAUAAUAAAUCGUUGCAGAUCAAUGGCUGAAGAUAAAGAUGGACUGCAGAAGGAAAUUCUGGAGGCAAAGAGAACUGUAUAUAGUCACUGGUCAAAACUACAAUAAUCAGCUAAUAAACGAAGAAAUGUAUAUAGUGCACUUGUCAAAACUACGGGCUUUUCUUGUAACAAACAAACCCAUUUACUUAAAUAAAGACUCACUAACUCAAAACAUAACCAAAGAUUCCUAUCACUAAAAUCACCACCAACAAUUUGCCUCAUUAAAUACACUAACAAACUAUCAAUUCCUGUAGCAGAAACAUCAAUCAUUUCUUUAGUAACCCAAAUUAAUUGUUCCUUUACCCAAUCAACAAGCUUUCCAUACAAUUCAUUAACAAUUCCAACAAGUAAACUUAAAAACAGCUUAUACCUAUCAAUGAAAAUAGCAUAUAAGUGGUUAAUAUGAAUUUUGGCGAAAUAGGGUUCGAUUAAAACACCAUAGAGAAUAGCUUGGUUAAAUAGAGUGUAUUCUUGGGGAUCUGAGAUAGUUAACGAAAGGGGGGGUUUAAUUUCGAUAGAAGAAGGUCAAAAGCUUGCCUUAGAAAGAGUUAUAGCUGAUUGUGAGCUUCAUAGGAUAAGACUCUAAUCAGUUGCAAAACCAUUAAGAGUAGUUUUCAUUAAGACAAAGCAAAAACUUAAUACCUUGUCAGCGAACUGCUUCACUCGAUUCAGCACCGAUUUAACAUCUGGGUGUUGGAUCGUUAGCCAUUUCCUCUCACACCGAAGUCAGAUUUUCUCGAGAAAACUGAGGAAUCUGGAUUUCAAGCUUCAUUUUUGUUGAGAGAAAUUGAAACCGUUGACCUUGAUUUCAACCGGAGCUUGAGGAUGAAUUUGUGGAGCCUAAGAGGAGUGAGAAUCGAUGAAAUUCGCCGGUAGGUAAAAUUUUGAUGGCUUUUAAUUUGAAAUUGAAUCUGGGUUCAGGCUUAGAUAGGGUUGGUAAGGAUGCUUCAGACGUGAAAAAGAGGGAGAAGGUUGAAGGAAAUGGGAAUCAGACGUGAAAAAAAAAAGAGAAGAAAAUGCUCAGUUGUGAGAAAGAAACUAGAAGGGUAAAGUUGAAAAAUUUUCACACUGAAUUGGUAUUCCGUAGGGGGAGUGCUGAAUUGUAAACGGCAGUUUUGCCUUGAAUAAGGCUGUAUGGAAUAGGGUUGUAAUAGCCCAUUACAACCAACCAAACAAUGGAACAGGGAUGAGACCACUGAAUUCAGCUGUAAUGGCUUAGCAUUACAGCCAACCAAAUAUAUUGUAAGAGUGUUCAUACACCAAUGAUCAGUUCGUCCAUGUUGUCUAAACAUGAGGGUGACUGUCUUGUUGAUCCUACAGAGUAUUGAAGUCUUGCUGGUGCGCUUCAAUAUGUGCUAUUAACUCAGCCUGGUGUUGCUUAUGCUGUGAAUCGUGUAUGCAAGUGUAUACAUGCGCCUACUUCAGUUUAUUUGAUUGCUUUAAAAAGGAUUUUACGGUAUUUACGUGGGACUAUUGAUCAUGGCCUGGUUUAUCCUCCAUUCGACAGACUAUCUCUCGUCAGUUAUGCUGAUGUAAACUGGAGGUUGAAUUUUGAUGAUCGCUGGUCUACAACAGGAUAUUGUGUGUAUUUUGGCAAUACGCCCAUCUCGCGGUGUUCGAAAAAGCAACAAGUUGUUUCUUAAUCAACAACAAAAACCAAAUAUUGAAGUCUUGAUGCCACCAUCAGUGAUAUUACAUGGUUAGUCUCUCUGUUAACAUAGUUACAAAUUCACUCUGCUGACUCCCCUAUUAUUUGGUGUGACAAUUCUAGUGCAGUAGAGGUUGCUGCAAAUCCGGUCUUACAUUCCAAGCUUAAACAUGUUGAACUUGACCUAUUCUUUGUCCGUGAAAAUGUAGCUAACAGUUCACUCAUUUUGGUGAGGUUCUAGCUUGUGACCAAGUUGCUGACAUUUUUACAAAACCAUUGUCUAUCUCUUUGUUUAUUGGGUUUCAUAAUUUACUUCGGGUCUUACCUAUUGAGAAGCUGGGUGAAUGUUAGAGUAUGUGAAUUGUAGAAGCCCAUUUUUGCCCGGCCCAUCAUAAACCAAAAAACCAUAGAAAUAAGUUUAACAGCCUAUUUACACAAAAAAGUCUAAAUAACCCAUGUUACAUUCAACCCAAAAGGCCUAAAAUUAACCUAAACCUUAAUGGCCUUAUAGGCCCAACACGUACUUCUAUAGCUCGCCCGACGCUCUAGGGUUGGCUCUGCCCACUCCUUGCACGAAAUGGAAGCCCUUGCUCAUUGACCUUCCCCCUAACCUGCAAACAAACCAAAAGAAAAACAGAAACAGCAACACGCAAAGGCAGACAUCAAUAGAAACAAACAAAAAAGAACUAACAGUUGUAUUAAUCGGCUAUAAAGCCACAUGAAAUUUUUAAUUUUUGGGGGAUUCUAAUACAGAGAAAUCAAAUACAACAACAAAAGAAUUUUGAAACAGAUUCAAGAAUCGAAAAUGUGCCCUUUUUAUUUUAUUAUUCGAAAUAAAAUAACUAAAUAAUAAACUUACCGUCGUUUUGCUUUCUCGUCGCUGUCAGAGGCUAUCGCCGACUCCUAAAACCUCGUAACCCGUUGGGUUUCCGAUGAGGGUCCGAAAGGGGAAACAGUGAGGCCGAAAACCCUUGUUUUUAUUUUUCUCUUUCCAUUUUCAUUGUUUUUUGGUUCAAAAACACCCAAAUCGUGUUUGAAAAGGGGAAAAAAGGUCUAAAGGGCCAAUUUUGGUGCACCUUUGGCCACCGUCCACGGCAAGGCCAUGAUGGUGCGGCGACUGACCACCGGUGGCCUUCUUGGCUAAUUUCUGGGUUUAGCCCAGAGAGAGAAAGGAGAAUAGAGAGUUUUUUUUUU
This 4582-nucleotide long non-coding RNA is filed under the name Gossypium barbadense (sea-island cotton). RNAcentral's name for it is "long non-coding RNA (GBAR_LNC008352)". The record is from RNAcentral. Lineage: Eukaryota; Viridiplantae; Streptophyta; Magnoliopsida; Malvales; Malvaceae.